Long non-coding RNA from Trifolium pratense (red clover), 1777 nucleotides. RefSeq lists it as uncharacterized. The record is from RefSeq and is a predicted model, not a curated record. NCBI's taxonomy places the organism in Eukaryota, Viridiplantae, Streptophyta, Magnoliopsida, Fabales, Fabaceae. The transcript is spliced from 7 exons.
AGCUGCAGAAAUUAGAGAAUCCAAUGCAAAACUUUCCUUCUUGAGUAUACAACCAAACACCCUUUCUGCAUGCAUUCUGAUUUUUUCCAUUUCCAUGUCAAUAAAUACAACUAGGCAUUUGUUAGAUAAAGACCAACAACUUCAAUCAAAAGGACACAUGCCUUUGCCACCGCCACACUCUCACAUUCCUAAACCGAACUACCUCUUUACCGGAAACUAAACCGAUCAUCUCUCUGCCGGAAACCACCUUCACUGUAACAGUCUGAUCAUUACCAUUUCAUCUCUUUCGAUACUCAUGGUCGGUCAAGUUGAUUCUGUUCGGAUCUGUAGGGAUUUGAACUCUCAACAAUCUCUAUUUACGUCAAUUUCAGUAACCUAAUCACGCUUGCAAAGGGCGAUGUAUGUGGUUAAUUUCACUCCACUUAAUAACAAAACCGAUUUGGAAGAGUGGUGUUGUUGCUAAUAUUUUCAUCAAGGUAAAUGAUGGCAUCCAGGAUUGAUGGGACUAUAUGUUGUCUUGCUUUGUUGGUGUGCAUUUAGAAGUGAACCAGAUGGAGAUCAAUGCAUGAGGAAGACAGGCACCGUAACCAAAAUAGACUGGAAAAACAUCAUUAGCUUUGUUAUUGGAAUACUAGCAAUUGGAAUACUAGCAAUAGUUAUUGCAACAUUUUCUACAGGCAUAGAUUCCAAAUAAUUUCAGUUUUCAAGGCUUUUGGGGAAUCUGACAGCAGGAAUGGCCAAGAGUUAGCUCUCUGCGUGAUUGGCAUGUCUACCCAAGGUGGGAGCCUCAGAACUUGGCAAGGGCCGUGCUCUCAUUGGCACCUGAAGGAGUGGACCUUCUCUCGGUCAGUAUUCCUUUCCUUGAUUAAUUUUGCUUUUUGUUUGUAAGUUCAUAUGCCUCUUGAUAAAUUGUUAUUUGCAAAAUAGAAAUUAGAAACCAUAAUGGAUUAUCUUUAUAAGUAUCAUUUAUUUAUGAGUAUCAUUUCUGCAUUGAGAAAAUUUAACUAAUUCAAAAUAUGUUCUUUUCAAAAAAAUUACAUUUUAAACCGAUAAUGAUAAUAUCUGUUGUUGAUCACAAGGGUGUUCUACUCUUUGUUUUACCCCCAAUGUUACUUUCCCCGCUUAAUCAGUUCCAAGAUGUUAGCCAUUCAUCGAUGCAUUGUAGUAUAUCUUAAACCUUAUAAUCUUUUUUCAAAUAUUAUAACCCGUUGCUCUAUUUUUUUAUCUUUCAAAAUUUGUACCAAUAAAUUUUUAGAAAUUGGAUAUGUGCUUAUUAUUUUUCAAAAAUUACAAUUAGAUCCCUAAAUUUUCAGCGAGUUUCGUAAAAGUUUUGUGACAUGCAUGAAGUUAUGUGGUGUUCAUUCAAAUACUACCCAUAAGUAUCUAUUUUCUUAAAAGAUUUUUGGUUACUUACCACAAUUUGAAUUUUGAGUUAGAACUUAAAAUCUUUUUCAAAUUUUAUAUGUUGCUAAAUUUUUUCAUGUUUUUCAAAUUUGCAUCAAUAUAUUUUUAAAAAUUAGAUGUGUGCAUAUUAGUUUUCAAAACUUACAACUAGAUCCCUCAUUUUAAAAAAUUUGAGUUAUUUUCGUGAAAGUUUACAACAUGCAUGAAGUUACACUUUAUUCAUUCAUAUACAACCUAUAAGCAUUUAUUUUUGAGUUUUAAUAUCUAGAAAUAGUAGCAAAAUUUUAAGUUUGAAAAUAUUUGGAUUCAUGAAAUCUUUAAAAGUUCAAAACUUUGGAUUUAAAAGAGUUUUUUUUUAUCGAAACAUUUUGAG